AUUCGAGUUCGAAAUGUGAGUGCAGAAUUCCGUGGAGUUGCUGUGAUUUCCGAGUUGUGUGUGUGUGCUGAUGUGCGAGUUUGGAGAACUUGAUGUUUCUUUUUCUUAGAGAGUUGUGAUAAUGACUUAUCAUUUUAGUAGUCAUAUUUAAGGGAGUUAAUUGGGAGACGUUCAGUUAGUAUUUCUGACCUUUUUGAGAUCGUUGUUUGAUAGAAGUAGUAUGUUUGGGUUAAUUUUCUUAGAUUGACCAAAGACCUGACUGACAUACUAACGCCCAAAAGUUCACCGACACCAGCAAGACGUCCACCAGCCGUGAAGAGAGGUUGCUGCCAUGUUGUCCAUGGUGAUUACAAGUAUUUCCACGUGGGUGUUCGAGAGAAUUCUACAGCGUGUUUUUGGGGAUCUACAAGAAGCCGUGAGAGUCUUCUACGAUGAGGGAGGCAUUCCGUCUUCCUACAGUUGCUACAGCCUGCUAUAGCCUGUUGCUGUCUGUGCAGCUACUUGCAGACAAGCGAAGAGGGAUAUUCAAGAAUCCUAAUGCAGAAAAUAUGGGAGAAAAUGCGUCUUGGGUUAUUGGGAGAUUAAAGCGUGAUAAGACUUUAUUUUAUAAUGCCAGAGACGUGCAGUUUUACUUAUUUUGUUUUAAGCCGGCCAAUGUUUUAUAUUAUAUAAGCAAUUCUGCUAGGCGGGAGCUAGCAUAUAGGUGCGAGGCCGAGCAAUCUGUAAGACAUAGGGUUUUGAUUAAUUAUAUAUUGUUCGUGCAUUCUCUGUAACCUGUGGAAUGUGGAGGACAGGGCAGAGUAACGACCUGAGGGUAGCUGAUCAAUGAGUUGCUAGGGGAUGGCGUGAGAUAAAAGUGCUUAGUUCGUCGAGUCAAUGUACGACAGUUUAUGAACUCUUCCCAAAGUGCCUUUGUGAAACUAGAUGCAGCUAGAACCGCGAGGCGCUAGCGAACUGUGUGUUCGUAUGUGCGUGUGCGCCUCUUUCUGUUAAAAGCGUUCAUACCCAAGCCUAUGGGAGGGAUUUUGACAGAGGGCUUCGAGUCAUAGGCAAAGAUGCCGUGGCAUUCGCCGGGGGGAGUUUUUUGACAUAGUGUUUAGUGCCCGGUUGGGAAUGGAUGGUUCUGGAUUUCUGUGGGACAGAGUUCCCAGGGAAAGGUGUGACCUUUUGGGUGACUUGACAAUGAGUUGUUUUAAGUUAGUCUGUAAGACUGGAUUACUUAGUUAACCGACUUAGUUGUUAUUGUAAAUAAACGUUAUGUUAUGA
Molecule: long non-coding RNA, 1266 nt
Organism: Macrobrachium nipponense
Lineage: Eukaryota; Metazoa; Arthropoda; Malacostraca; Decapoda; Palaemonidae
Exons: 2
Source: RefSeq, a predicted model, not a curated record